CCUCCCGCGGUCCCUCGAGAAGAAGCACCCGGUCCACACGCAUGCCGGUCGGCUCACACAUCUGGUUCAUCCCGCAGGCAAUGAACAAGUUGGAGACCAAGGAGAAGGUGCAGUGGAGCAGGAGUUGAAACUUCUCCCAUCUUUGGGGACACAUGACCUGAAUAAAGGCCACACCUCUUUUAUCUAUCCCAGGUAAAACAUCUGAAGCAGCACUGCAAACACUGCCAAUAAAAGUGAGUCAUGUUAUCUUAACUGAACUGAAUAUAGCUGUUUCAGCUAAUCUGUCUCAUCCUAGGUUUAGGUAUUUUUUAAUUGUAUAUUAUGAAAGAUUUGUAUUUGUAUUAAAUUACAUUUUCCACUUAAGUAUCAUUAAAAUUAAUGUGUAUCUGUGAAACUACUUGUUACCUGAUAU
Molecule: long non-coding RNA, 412 nt
Organism: Pseudoliparis swirei
Lineage: Eukaryota; Metazoa; Chordata; Actinopteri; Perciformes; Liparidae
Exons: 3
Source: RefSeq, a predicted model, not a curated record